CCUACGAGCGGCAGCAGUGGGGGAUAUUGCACAAUGGGGGAAACCCUGAUGCAGCGACGCCGCGUGAGUGAAGAAGUAUUUCGGUAUGUAAAGCUCUAUCAGCAGGGCAGAAAAUGACAGUACCUGACCAAGAAGCCACGGCUAACUACGUGCCAGCAGCCGCGGUAAUACGUAGGGGGCAAGCGGUAUCCGGAGUUACUGGGUGGAAAGGGAGCGUAGACGGUUAUGUAAGUCUGGAGUGAAAGCCCGGGGCACAACCCCGGGACUGCUUUGGAAACUGUGUAACUGGAGUACAGGAGGGGCAGGCGGAAUUCCUGGUGUAGCGGUGAAAUGCGUAGAUAUCAGGAGGAACACCGGCGGCGAAGGCGGCCUGCUGGACUGAAACUGACGUUGAGGCUCGAAAGCGUGGGGAGCAAACAGGAUUAGAUACCCUGGUAGUC
This 440-nucleotide ribosomal RNA is filed under the name uncultured bacterium. RNAcentral's name for it is "partial 16S ribosomal RNA". It matches the Rfam family "Bacterial small subunit ribosomal RNA", at positions 338 to 795 of the family's 1533-position model. The record is from RNAcentral.